This 801-nucleotide ribosomal RNA is filed under the name Bacillus thuringiensis. RNAcentral's name for it is "bacterial SSU rRNA". It matches the Rfam family "Bacterial small subunit ribosomal RNA", at positions 65 to 845 of the family's 1533-position model. The record is from RNAcentral. Lineage: Bacteria; Bacillati; Bacillota; Bacilli; Caryophanales; Bacillaceae.
AGCGAUGGAUUGAGAGCUUGCUCUCAAGAAGUUAGCGGCGGACGGGUGAGUAACACGUGGGUAACCUGCCCAUAAGACUGGGAUAACUCCGGGAAACCGGGGCUAAUACCGGAUAACAUUUUGAACUGCAUGGUUCGAAAUUGAAAGGCGGCUUCGGCUGUCACUUAUGGAUGGACCCGCGUCGCAUUAGCUAGUUGGUGAGGUAACGGCUCACCAAGGCAACGAUGCGUAGCCGACCUGAGAGGGUGAUCGGCCACACUGGGACUGAGACACGGCCCAGACUCCUACGGGAGGCAGCAGUAGGGAAUCUUCCGCAAUGGACGAAAGUCUGACGGAGCAACGCCGCGUGAGUGAUGAAGGCUUUCGGGUCGUAAAACUCUGUUGUUAGGGAAGAACAAGUGCUAGUUGAAUAAGCUGGCACCUUGACGGUACCUAACCAGAAAGCCACGGCUAACUACGUGCCAGCAGCCGCGGUAAUACGUAGGUGGCAAGCGUUAUCCGGAAUUAUUGGGCGUAAAGCGCGCGCAGGUGGUUUCUUAAGUCUGAUGUGAAAGCCCACGGCUCAACCGUGGAGGGUCAUUGGAAACUGGGAGACUUGAGUGCAGAAGAGGAAAGUGGAAUUCCAUGUGUAGCGGUGAAAUGCGUAGAGAUAUGGAGGAACACCAGUGGCGAAGGCGACUUUCUGGUCUGUAACUGACACUGAGGCGCGAAAGCGUGGGGAGCAAAACAGGAUUAGAUACCCUGGUAGUCCACGCCGUAAACGAUGAGUGCUAAGUGUUAGAGGGUUUCCGCCCUUUAGUG